This is a ribosomal RNA of Ochotona princeps (American pika), 128 nucleotides long. The record is from Ensembl. NCBI's taxonomy places the organism in Eukaryota, Metazoa, Chordata, Mammalia, Lagomorpha, Ochotonidae.
GUCUAUGGCCAUACCACCCUGAACACGCCCGAUCUCGUGUGAUCUCGGAAGCUAAGCAGGAUCGGGCCUGGUUAAUACUUGGGUGGGAGAAAGGGUCUUAAAAGCAAAAGAACUGGAGGCCCUGAAGC